Molecule: ribosomal RNA, 253 nt
Filed under: uncultured bacterium
Lineage: Bacteria
Description: partial 16S ribosomal RNA
Rfam family: Bacterial small subunit ribosomal RNA
Source: RNAcentral
UACGGAGGGUGCGAGCGUUAAUCGGAAUUACUGGGCGUAAAGGGUGCGUAGGUUGUUAAGUAAGUUAUCUGUGAAAUUCCUGGGCUUAACCUGGGACGGUCAGAUAAAACUGCUUGACUCGAGUAUGGGAGAGGGUAGUGGAAUUUCCGGUGUAGCGGUGAAAUGCGUAGAGAUCGGAAGGAACACCAGUGGCGAAGGCGGCUACCUGGCCUAAUACUGACACUGAGGCACGAAAGCGUGGGGAGCAAACAGG